UCCCUCCUGAACCUGUGCAUUUGGUACAAGAGGUGACCUUACCUGAAUAGAGGAGGGUAGUUCUCCAGUUAAGGAUAUAUGAGUAGCUGCACUCCCUGCUAAAUCUCCAAACAACCUCGCAAGAGCCUUGAAUUCCUAAAUCAAAC
RNAcentral lists this small RNA (146 nucleotides) under Jaculus jaculus (lesser Egyptian jerboa). RNAcentral's name for it is "7SK RNA (ENSJJAG00000007381.1)". It matches the Rfam family "7SK RNA", at positions 116 to 273 of the family's 331-position model. From Rfam's summary of the family: 7SK was discovered as an abundant small nuclear RNA in the mid-70s but a possible function has only recently been suggested. Two independent studies have found that 7SK RNA binds the CDK9/cyclin T complex (known as elongation factor P-TEFb). Lineage: Eukaryota; Metazoa; Chordata; Mammalia; Rodentia; Dipodidae. The record is from RNAcentral.